RNAcentral lists this ribosomal RNA (497 nucleotides) under uncultured bacterium. RNAcentral's name for it is "partial 16S ribosomal RNA". It matches the Rfam family "Bacterial small subunit ribosomal RNA", at positions 28 to 507 of the family's 1533-position model. The record is from RNAcentral.
GAUGAACGCUGGCGGCGUGCCUAAUACAUGCAAGUCGAGCGAACAGACGAGGAGCUUGCUCCUCUGACGUUAGCGGCGGACGGGUGAGUAACACGUGGAUAACCUACCUAUAAGACUGGGAUAACUUCGGGAAACCGGAGCUAAUACCGGAUAAUAUAUUGAACCGCAUGGUUCAAUAGUGAAAGACGGUUUUGCUGUCACUUAUAGAUGGAUCCGCGCCGCAUUAGCUAGUUGGUAAGGUAACGGCUUACCAAGGCGACGAUGCGUAGCCGACCUGAGAGGGGGAUCGGCGACACUGGAACUGAGACACGGUCCAGACUCCUACGGGAGGCAGCAGUAGGGAAUCUUCCGCAAUGGGCGAAAGCCUGACGGAGCAACGCCGCGUGAGUGAUGAAGGUCUUCGGAUCGUAAAACUCUGUUAUUAGGGAAGAACAAAUGUGUAAGUAACUAUGCACGUCUUGACGGUACCUGAUCAGAAAGCCACGGCUAACUACGUG